UCGUAACAAGGUUUCCGUAGGUGAACCUGCGGAAGGAUCAUUACCAUGAGGAUUGCAAGAGCGCGCAGUACUGGGGCUCACCUCCCGCCCCGGUUGGAACCGUGCCCACACAUACAGAGGGACCGGCAAGAAACAACUUGCGGGCCCCUUUGGGAGGCGAGCGGCUCGUCCGCUCGCCUGUAGACGGUGCCUUCCGCCGGACGGGGCUUCCCCUGGCCGCUCUUGUCUUCCACAACCUUCACCCUUGAUUACCCUAGCCUUGUUGCCUCGGCAGGUCCGCCUGCCAGAGGACGCAAUCUAAACCACUGUUGUCAACGACGAAGUCUGAGCUACAAAAGCAAUUGUUUAAAACUUUCAACAACGGAUCUCUUGGUUCUGGCAUCGAUGAAGAACGCAGCGAAAUGCGAUAAGUAGUGUGAAUUGCAGAAUUCAGUGAAUCAUCGAAUCUUUGAACGCACAUUGCGCCCUUUGGCAUCCCGAAGGGCAUGCCUGUUCGAGCGUCAUUUCACCAAUCAAGCCUGGCUUGGUGUUGGGUGCCGUCCCGCCUCCGCGCGCGGACGCUCCCUAAAAUCAUCGGCGGUGCAGCACCGGCUUCGAGCGCAGCAGAUGUUCGCUCUGUGGGCCCGGUGAGGCAGCGGCCGCGACGACAACCUCUAGGUUGACCUCGGAUCAGGUAGGGAUACCCGCUGAACUUAAGCAUAUCAAUAA
RNAcentral lists this unclassified non-coding RNA (708 nucleotides) under Medicopsis romeroi. RNAcentral's name for it is "sequence contains 18S rRNA gene, ITS1, 5.8S rRNA gene, ITS2, 28S rRNA gene". The stretch from base 350 to 503 matches the Rfam family "5.8S ribosomal RNA". The record is from RNAcentral. Lineage: Eukaryota; Fungi; Ascomycota; Dothideomycetes; Pleosporales; Neohendersoniaceae.